AGAGUUUGAUCAUGGCUCAGGAUGAACGCUAGCGGCAGGCUUAAUACAUGCAAGUCGUGGGGCAGCACAGGUAGCAAUACUGGGUGGCGACCGGCAAACGGGUGCGGAACACGUACGCAACCUUCCUUUAAGUCGGGGAUAGCCCAGGGAAACUUGGAUUAAUACCCCUUAACAUUAUGAGAUGGCAUCAUUUUAUAAUUAAAGCUCCGGCGCUUAAAGAUGGGCGUGCGCCUGAUUAGGUAGUUGGCGGGGUAACAGCCCACCAAGCCUACGAUCAGUAACUGGUGUGAGAGCACGACCAGUCACACGGGCACUGAGACACGGGCCCGACUCCUACGGGAGGCAGCAGUAAGGAAUAUUGGUCAAUGGACGCAAGUCUGAACCAGCCAUGCCGCGUGGAGGAUGGCGGCCCUCUGGGUUGUAAACUCCUUUUAUCUGGGAAGAAAUGCAGAUAUUCUUAUCUGUUUGACGGUACCAGAGGGAUAAGCACCGGCUAACUCCGUGCCAGCAGCCGCGGUAAUACGGAGGGUGCAAGCGUUAUCCGGAUUCACUGGGUUUAAAGGGUGCGUAGGUGGAGUGGUAAGUCAGUGGUGAAAUCUCCAAGCUUAACUUGGAAACUGCCGUUGAUACUAUCAUUCUUGAAUAUCGUGGAGGUAAGCGGAAUAUGUCAUGUAGCGGUGAAAUGCUUAGAUAUGACAUAGAACACCGAUUGCGAAGGCAGCUUGCUACACGAUCAUUGACACUGAGGCACGAAAGCGUGGGGAUCAAACAGGAUUAGAUACCCUGGUAGUCCACGCCCUAAACGAUGAUUACUCGACAUCAGCGAUACACUGUUGGUGUCUGAGCGAAAGCAUUAAGUAAUCCACCUGGGAAGUACGAUCGCAAGAUUGAAACUCAAAGGAAUU
Molecule: ribosomal RNA, 905 nt
Filed under: uncultured bacterium
Lineage: Bacteria
Description: bacterial SSU rRNA
Rfam family: Bacterial small subunit ribosomal RNA
Source: RNAcentral